UAAGGAAUAUUGGUCAAUGGGCGCAAGCCUGAACCAGCCAUGCCGCGUGCAGGAAGACGGCCCUAUGGGUUGUAAACUGCUUUUAUCAGGGAAUAAACCCCCGCUCGUGAGCGGGGCUGAAGGUACCUGAAGAAUAAGCAUCGGCUAACUCCGUGCCAGCAGCCGCGGUAAUACGGAGGAUGCAAGCGUUAUCCGGAUUCAUUGGGUUUAAAGGGUGCGCAGGCGGAUUGGUAAGUCAGGGGUGAAAUCCCACAGCUCAACUGUGGAACUGCCUUUGAUACCGUCAGUCUAGAGUAUAGUUGAAGUUGGCGGAAUGUGUCAUGUAGCGGUGAAAUGCUUAGAUAUGACACAGAACACCGAUCGCGAAGGCAGCUAGCUAAGCUAUAACUGACGCUCAUGCAA
RNAcentral lists this ribosomal RNA (402 nucleotides) under uncultured bacterium. Its description in RNAcentral is "bacterial SSU rRNA". It matches the Rfam family "Bacterial small subunit ribosomal RNA", at positions 355 to 754 of the family's 1533-position model. The record is from RNAcentral.